UACGUAGGGUGCAAGCGUUAAUCGGAAUUACUGGGCGUAAAGCGUACGCAGGCGGCUUUGCAAGACAGGUGUGAAAUCCCCGGGCCUAACCUGGGAACUGCAUUUGUGACUGCAUGGCUAGAGUUUGUCAGAGGGGGGUGGAAUUCCACGUGUAGCAGUGAAAUGCGUAGAGAUGUGGAAGAACACCGAUGGCGAAGGCAGCCCCCUGGGAUCUGACUGACGCUCAUGUACGAAAGCGUGGGGAGCAAACAGG
RNAcentral lists this ribosomal RNA (253 nucleotides) under uncultured bacterium. RNAcentral's name for it is "partial 16S ribosomal RNA". It matches the Rfam family "Bacterial small subunit ribosomal RNA", at positions 524 to 776 of the family's 1533-position model. The record is from RNAcentral.